GAGGUGCAAAUCAGAAAACACAACACUAAAAGAGAAAACACAACAGCAAAUAAGAAAACUCAAUGGUUAAUGUUGUUGUGUUUUCUCUUUUUGUGUUGUGUUUUCUGAUUUGCCGUUGUG
RNAcentral lists this microRNA precursor (120 nucleotides) under Xyrichtys novacula (pearly razorfish). Lineage: Eukaryota; Metazoa; Chordata; Actinopteri; Labriformes; Labridae. The record is from RNAcentral.